GUGUCAGCCGCCGCGGUAAUACGUAGGUGGCAAGCGUUGUCCGGAAUUACUGGGCGUAAAGAAUGCGUAGGCGGUCUUUUAAGUGGGAUGUGAAAUCCCUGGGCUCAACCCAGGAACUGCAUUCCAAACUGGAAGACUAGAGUGCGGGAGAGGAAAUUGGUAUUCCCAGUGUAGCGGUGAAAUGCGUAGAGAUUGGGAGGAACACCAGUAGCGAAGGCGAAUUUCUGGAACGUAACUGACGCUGAGGCAUGAAAGCGUGGGGAGCAAACAGGAUUAGAUACCCUGGUAGUCCACGCCGUAAACGAUGAGUACUAGGUGUAGGGGGGUACCACCCCCUGUGCCGCAGUUAACACAUUAAGUACUCCGCCUGGGAAGUACGAUCGCAAGAUUAAA
This 393-nucleotide ribosomal RNA is filed under the name uncultured bacterium. RNAcentral's name for it is "bacterial SSU rRNA". It matches the Rfam family "Bacterial small subunit ribosomal RNA", at positions 505 to 898 of the family's 1533-position model. The record is from RNAcentral.